RNAcentral lists this ribosomal RNA (433 nucleotides) under uncultured bacterium. RNAcentral's name for it is "partial 16S ribosomal RNA". It matches the Rfam family "Bacterial small subunit ribosomal RNA", at positions 29 to 507 of the family's 1533-position model. The record is from RNAcentral.
AACGAACGCUGGCGGCAUGCCUAACACAUGCAAGUCGAACGAACCCUUCGGGGUUAGUGGCGCACGGGUGCGUAACGCGUGGGAAUCUGCCCUUUGCUUCGGACUAACUAAGGGAAACUUGUGCUAUUACCGGAUGAUGUCUUCGGACCAAAGAUUUAUUGGCAAGGGAUGAGCCCGCGUAGGAUUAGGUAGUUGGUGGGGUAAAGGAAUACCAAGCCGUCGAUCCUUAAGUUGUUUGAGAGGAUGAUCAGCCACACUGGGACUGAGACACGGCCCAGACUCCUACGGGAGGGAGCAGUGCGGAAUAUUGGACCGUGGGCGCAAGCCUGAUCCAGCAAUGCCGCGUGAGUGAUGAAGGCCCUCGGGUCGUAAAGCUCUUUUACCAGGGAUGAUAAUGACAGUACCUAGAGAAUAAGCUCCGGCUAACUCCGUG